CCUACGGGCGGCAGCAGUGGGGAAUAUUGGACAAUGGGGGGAACCCUGAUCCAGCCAUGCCGCGUGUGUGAAGAAGGCCCUCGGGUUGUAAAGCACUUUCAGUGAGGAAGAACGCCUGGUGGUUAAUACCCAUCAGGAAAGACAUCACUCACAGAAGAAGCACCGGCUAACUCCGUGCCAGCAGCCGCGGUAAUACGGAGGGUGCGAGCGUUAAUCGGAAUUACUGGGCGUAAAGCGCGCGUAGGUGGCUUGAUAAGCCGGUUGUGAAAGCCCCGGGCUCAACCUGGGAACGGCAUCCGGAACUGUCAAGCUAGAGUGCAGGAGAGGAAGGUAGAAUUCCCGGUGUAGCGGUGAAAUGCGUAGAGAUCGGGAGGAAUACCAGUGGCGAAGGCGGCCUUCUGGACUGACACUGACACUGAGGUGCGAAAGCGUGGGUUGCAAACAGGAUUAGAUACCCUGGUAGUC
RNAcentral lists this ribosomal RNA (465 nucleotides) under Vreelandella stevensii. Its description in RNAcentral is "partial 16S ribosomal RNA". It matches the Rfam family "Bacterial small subunit ribosomal RNA", at positions 338 to 795 of the family's 1533-position model. Lineage: Bacteria; Pseudomonadati; Pseudomonadota; Gammaproteobacteria; Oceanospirillales; Halomonadaceae. The record is from RNAcentral.